UACCAGCACCCCGAGUGGUCGGGACGAUUAUUGGGCCUAAAGUAUCCGUAGCCGGCCUUACAAGUCCUCCGUUAAAUCCAGCUGCUUAACAGAUGGGCUGCGGAGGAUACUAUAAGACUAGGAGGCAGGAGAGGCAAGCGGUACUCAGUGGGUAGGGGUAAAAUCCGUUGAUCCAUUGAAGACCACCAGUGGCGAAGGCGGGUCUCUGGGCCGUAACUGACGCUGAGGAGCGAAAGCGUGGGGAGCGAACAGG
Molecule: ribosomal RNA, 253 nt
Filed under: uncultured bacterium
Lineage: Bacteria
Description: partial 16S ribosomal RNA
Rfam family: Archaeal small subunit ribosomal RNA
Source: RNAcentral